CUCAACCGGUUGUAACUCGAAAUAUUCAAUAAUCUAGGAAGCAUUGCGCUGGAGUCUGGACGUUUUACAGCAAAACGAGAAGAAAGUCCUGUGUUUGUUUCCAGUGACCGCUUGACUGACCAGCAGCAUGAGCUUCUUUGGUUUUGGUCAGAGUGCGGACAUCGAUAUAAUUCUGAAUGACGCCGAAACGAGAAAGAAAGCGGAGCAUAAAAGCGAAGACGGCAGGAAGGACAAAUAUUUUCUCUUCUACGACGGUGAAACGGUGUCGGGGAAAGUCAACGUGACGCUCAAGUACCCGGGAAAGAGGCUGGAGCACAACGGCAUCAAGAUUGAGUUUGUUGGCCAGAUAGAGCUGUACUAUGACAGAGGAAACCACCACGAGUUUGUGUCUCUUGUGAAAGACUUGGCUCGGCCCGGGGAGCUCACACAGUCACAGACGUUUGACUUUGAGUUCACACAUGUGGAGAAGCCCUACGAGUCUUACACCGGUCAGAAUGUCAAAUUGCGCUACUUUCUGAGGGCGACAGUAGGCCGGAGACUGAAUGACAUCAGCAAAGAGCUGGACAUUGUGGUGCACACACUCAGCACCUACCCUGAGCUCAACUCCUCCAUCAAGAUGGAAGUGGGGAUCGAGGACUGUCUACACAUAGAGUUUGAGUACAAUAAAUCCAAGUAUCACCUUAAAGACGUGAUUGUUGGGAAGAUUUACUUUCUGCUGGUGAGGAUUAAGAUCAAACACAUGGAGAUCGACAUCAUCAAGCGGGAGACGACCGGCACCGGGCCAAACGUCUACCACGAGAACGACACCAUGGCAAAGUAUGAAAUCAUGGACGGUGCACCGGUCCGAGGGGAGUCCAUCCCCAUCAGGCUGUUUCUGGCAGGCUAUGAGAUGACGCCCACAAUGAGGGACAUUAACAAGAAGUUCUCGGUGCGGUACUACCUCAACCUGGUCCUCAUAGACGAGGAGGAACGGCGCUAUUUCAAGCAGCAGGAGAUCACCCUGUGGAGGAAAGGGGACAUAGUGAGGAAGAGUAUGUCUCACCAAGCGAUCAUCGCCUCCCAGCGCUUCGAAGGCUCCUCCAACCCAGAGAAGAGCCAGACCCCGAGCAAUGCAGAAGAGGACAGCUAAAGCCCAGCAUGCACUUCACCCCCCCGUGUAGUGAGUGUCUGAGCCAAACACAGUGCAGACAUUCUGAAUGUGAAUAUCAUGUUUUUGCAUUGAGAUGGAAUGUGUGUGUGUGUGUGUGUGUGUGUGUGUGUGUGUGUAUAGUAUAAGAGCCACUGCGGGUGUAUUUCUAACACAACCUUUCCUAAAAACUACUUCCUUGGCUGUGCAGAAACGGUAGUCAUACAGUAGCUUUCUACAAAGUGGCUAAACAAUAGAUUGUACAGUACAUUUCUGUGCGUUUACUCAAAGGAAUGUGAGAUUUAUUCAUUCACUGAAGAUUAUUUCGCUGCCAUGGCCUCUGCUGAGAAACCGCUCCUCUCAUUUGGUUUGAAUUCCAAAAUAUGUUGAAUUUUUUUUUUUUGCUUCUUCAUUUAAAAAACAAAAACAAACGAGCAAUGACUCCUCACCACAGAAAGAUGGGAAAAACAAGUAUAAGACUUUAAAGAUGCUCUAAAAGAAAGAAAAUACAUUUACAUAUUUGUAUAAGACAAUGAUUAAUAUUUUCAUACAUUCCAAGGCUCUCAUCAGAAAUAGGCAUGGCUGUGGAGUAUUUAUUUUUUAACAGAAAUUCCAUUUGUAUCCAGCAUUUGACAUGUUUAAUGUAUCAGUGGGUUGUGGCUCGGUGUCGGGUGUUAGCCACUGCUGCUAAAACAAACGCGUGAGCGCUGUGGGAUUGUUCUUCCAUCACGGUAACCGUCUCUGACAGUUUGAAGUCCUGCUUUCUUAUUUGCACUAUGAUCUCAUUCUGCUUUUUUCUGCUCUCAGUGCUGUUUAUAAACUGGACUCAUGGCAGGGUUCAGGAGCGGAGUGAAAAUCCGACUCCACUCUCCCCGGGGAUCACUUCAAAUCUAAUAUGGACAGUAUUACACCCGUUUAGUGACAAAGUGAGUCCUGCCGGGACUGACUGCCCUGUGUGGUUAGUUAGCGUUGUGCCUAAGGGUUUAUUGCCAAAAUGUUUCAGUGCAAUACUAUAGAACUACUGCCACAGUGACAUGCUCCGCCCUUUCUCCCCAUUUAGACUGUGCUCCUCUCUUAAUCCACUACAGCCACCUAUCAUGAAAUAAAAAAAAAAACAUGGGUUCACUGCCAAGAAGGUUUCAAAUGAUGGUAUUGCGAAGAACAUGAAUGUAUGA
This is an RNA transcript of Sander lucioperca (pikeperch), 2301 nucleotides long. It is a transcript of the gene named vacuolar protein sorting 26 homolog B, like, with no coding region annotated. The record is from RefSeq and is a predicted model, not a curated record. Lineage: Eukaryota; Metazoa; Chordata; Actinopteri; Perciformes; Percidae. The transcript has 7 exons.